RNAcentral lists this ribosomal RNA (406 nucleotides) under uncultured bacterium. RNAcentral's name for it is "partial 16S ribosomal RNA". It matches the Rfam family "Bacterial small subunit ribosomal RNA", at positions 28 to 526 of the family's 1533-position model. The record is from RNAcentral.
GAUGAACGCUGACAGAAUGCUUAACACAUCAGCAAUUGAUUGGUGGCGGACGGGUGAGUAACGCGUAAAGAACUUACCUCACAGUUAGGGACAACAUUUGGAAACGAAUGCUAAUACCUAAUACUGUGAGAGAGCUUUGCGUCCCAUUAGCUAGUUGGAGAGGUAACGGCUCACCAAGGCGAUGAUGGGUAGCCGCACUGAGAGGGUGAUCGGCCACAAGGGGAUUGAGGCACCACCCUUACUCCUUCGGGAGGCAGGGGUGGGGAAUAUUGGGAAAUAGGCCAAAGUCUGAUCCAGGAAUUCUGUGUGCACGAUGAAGUUUUCGGAAUGAAAAGUGCUUUGAGUUGGGAAGCGGUACCAACAGAAGAAGUGACGGCUAACUACGUGCCAGCAGCCGCGGUAAUAC